Molecule: ribosomal RNA, 450 nt
Filed under: uncultured bacterium
Lineage: Bacteria
Description: partial 16S ribosomal RNA
Rfam family: Bacterial small subunit ribosomal RNA
Source: RNAcentral
GUCGAGAAUAAUUCACAAUGGACGAAAGUCUGAUGGUGCAACGCCGCGUGGAGGAUGAAGGUCUUCGGAUUGUAAACUCCUGUCAUCGGGGAGUAAGACCUGGCGGUAAAUAGCCGACAGGGUUGAUAGUACCCGAAGAGGAAGGGACGGCUAACUUCGUGCCAGCAGCCGCGGUAAUACGAAGGUCCCAAGCGUUGUUCGGAAUCACUGGGCGUAAAGGGAGCGUAGGCGGCGUGGUAAGUCAGAUGUGAAAUCCCGGGGCUCAACCCCGGAACUGCAUCCGAUACUGCCAUGCUUGAGGGUUGGAGAGGUAGCUGGAAUUCUCGGUGUAGCAGUGAAAUGCGUGGAUAUCGAGAGGAACACUCGUGGCGAAGGCGAGCUACUGGACAACAUCUGACGCUGAGGCUCGAAGGCCAGGGGAGCAAAAGGGAUUAGAUACCCGAGUAGUCC